CGAUGUAUGACACAGAGAUAACAAUCGAAGCGCUAGCAUCGGAAUUUUUUCCAGAAAGACCGGAAUUCAAAGACGCCAUUAAAAAAGAGUUGAAAAAAUGGAAAACCCUAGAUCUAUCAAGAUAUCCUGAAGCUAUGGUGAUGUAUUCAGAUGUGGUUAUGAUUGCGCCCAUGAUGAAACUUGCAGAUAUGAUUUUUCAAAAGAAGAACGUUUAUACACUCAGUUUUGAGUAUAUUUCACAGAAUAAAAGCGGACCGGAUUGGAUAGGGGUCCAGCAUGGUUGGGACGCAUUUUACGUAUUUGGCUUACCAACAAUUGGACACCCAAACUUCUCAUAUACGCCACGAGAUGCCGAUGUGUCUAAAACGACAAUGAGAAUCAUCAGCGAUUUCGUCAAAGAAGGACAUUGGGGAUCAUAUAGUGGGUUGAAUGUCUACAAUCCAGAAAGAAAAUCGUAUAACAAACUGGAUUACGCCAAUGACCAAGUCGUCUUAACAAACGAAAUUAACUAUAAACAACCAAGACUAUCCUUUUGGUUCAAGUAUUUGUAUCCCUUGAAUUUCACUUGCGGCAUCAGCAGUUAAAAGUAGAUUAUAAUACGUAUGUUAAUUCAUACAAAAACGAAAUAAAGGAGAA
Molecule: long non-coding RNA, 636 nt
Organism: Mytilus californianus (California mussel)
Lineage: Eukaryota; Metazoa; Mollusca; Bivalvia; Mytilida; Mytilidae
Exons: 5
Source: RefSeq, a predicted model, not a curated record